Molecule: ribosomal RNA, 504 nt
Filed under: uncultured bacterium
Lineage: Bacteria
Description: partial 16S ribosomal RNA
Rfam family: Bacterial small subunit ribosomal RNA
Source: RNAcentral
AUUGAACGCUGGCGGCAGGCCUAACACAUGCAAGUCGAGCGGUGACACAGGGAGCUUGCUCCUGGGUGACGAGCGGCGGACGGGUGAGUAAUGUCUGGGAAACUGCCUGAUGGAGGGGGAUAACUACUGGAAACGGUAGCUAAUACCGCAUAACGUCGCAAGACCAAAGAGGGGGACCUUCGGGCCUCUUGCCAUCAGAUGUGCCCAGAUGGGAUUAGCUAGUAGGUGGGGUAACGGCUUACCUAGGCGACGAUCCCUAGCUGGUCUGAGAGGAUGACCAGCCACACUGGAACUGAGACACGGUCCAGACUCCUACGGGAGGCAGCAGUGGGGAAUAUUGCACAAUGGGCGCAAGCCUGAUGCAGCCAUGCCGCGUGUAUGAAGAAGGCCUUCGGGUUGUAAAGUACUUUCAGCGGGGAGGAAGGCGAUAAGGUUAAUAACCUUGUCGAUUGACGUUACCCGCAGAAGAAGCACCGGCUAACUCCGUGCCAGCAGCCGCCGCGG